RNAcentral lists this ribosomal RNA (580 nucleotides) under Dryophthorinae CNCCOLVG00009331. RNAcentral describes it as "eukaryotic LSU rRNA". It matches the Rfam family "Eukaryotic large subunit ribosomal RNA", at positions 284 to 645 of the family's 3401-position model. The record is from RNAcentral. Lineage: Eukaryota; Metazoa; Arthropoda; Insecta; Coleoptera; Curculionidae.
AGCCCUAAGCGGGUGGUAAACUCCAUCUAAGGCUAAAUAUGACCACGAGACCGAUAGCGAACAAGUACCGUGAGGGAAAGUUGAAAAGCACUUUGAAGAGAGAGUUCAAGAGUACGUGAAACCGUUUAGGGGUAAACCUGAGAAACCCGAAAGGUCGAAGGAAGAAAUUCAUUCGCGUUUCGUCGUCGACGUUCGACGAUCGUUUGACGGAGGGCGUUCGCGCGCACUUCCGCUCUUUCGUCGAUUCUCGAAUCGAUGACGAACGCGUGCACUUUUCUUCUGGUAGGACGUCGCGAUCCGUUGGGCGUCGGUCUAAGGCUCGCAGAGGAGUCCGUAAGUUAAGGCGCGAGCCCUAACUUACGGACCUGCGUGUUUUUACCCGACCGACUCGCUCGACGGUAAACGAACGGUUUAAGGCCGCUCUCCCUUAUCGAGCGUUCGACUCGUCGCAAGCGCGCCAGAUGAUUGUCGGCGAUCGGACCCGGUGCCGGUUCCGACCUCUGGCGACUGUUGGCGACGAAGUUCUCGAACAGACCUUUUCGAAACCGAUCUGCGACGCUAUAGCUUUGGGUACUUUCAG